AUACGGAGGGUACAAACGUUGUUCGGAAUUACUGGGCAUAAAGCGCACGUCGGCUGCCAGGUAAGUGUGGAGUGAAAUCCCACGGCUCACCCGUGGAAUGGCUCUGCAUACUGCUUGGCUAGAGGAAGGUAGGGGAGAGCAGAACUCUUGGAGGAGCGGUGAAAUGCGUAGAUAUCAAGAGGAAUACCAGUGGCGAAGGCGGCUCUCUGGUCCUUUUCUGACGCUGAGGUGCGAAAGCUAGGGUAGCGAACGGGAUUAGAUACCCCGGUAGUCC
RNAcentral lists this ribosomal RNA (274 nucleotides) under uncultured bacterium. Its description in RNAcentral is "partial 16S ribosomal RNA". It matches the Rfam family "Bacterial small subunit ribosomal RNA", at positions 523 to 796 of the family's 1533-position model. The record is from RNAcentral.